AGCCCCGUAGUGCAGCGGCCAAGCAUAGGGGACUCUGGAUCCCUUGACGGCGGUUCGAAUCCGCCCGGGGCUA
RNAcentral lists this transfer RNA (73 nucleotides) under Candidatus Woesearchaeota archaeon. RNAcentral's name for it is "tRNA-Gln". It matches the Rfam family "tRNA". Rfam says of the family: Transfer RNA (tRNA) molecules are approximately 80 nucleotides in length. Lineage: Archaea; Nanobdellati; Candidatus Woesearchaeota. The record is from RNAcentral.